UCGAUAAUUUGGCAAAUUACUCCUAUUCGUUCUCAGUACCAUAUCCUGGGUUGGUUGAAAGUUCUGAUUUUUGAAAAGCUAGGGUUUGAAACAAAAGAUCUGCGCGCACGGGUUCAAUUACUCUCCCAGAAGAUGGAUGGCUGUACUUCACAAUUCAAGAUAAUCUUGGGAUCAUCUUCGGUAGCCCGUCGGAAAGUGCUAGCUGAGAUGGGAUAUGACUUCACAAUCAUGUCUGCAGACAUAGAUGAGAAAAGUAUUAGAAAAGAAAAGCCAGAGGAGUUGGUGAUGGCCCUUGCAGAGGCAAAGGUAGGUUUUUCCUUUUGAAUACUAACAAUUAGAAUAUGAACCUUGUCAAAAUUACAAACUGUAUUUGUGGUUUAUAUGUUUUGCUCCAGCUUUAGGAUACAGUCACUGUUUCUUUAGUUAAAGUAGUUGAAGAUGUUGGGUAUCUGUUAAAUCAUGGAAAAGCAAUAUGUUUGUACAAAUUCGUAUGUGUCGUUACUGCCUUUCUUGU
Non-coding RNA from Camellia sinensis, 514 nucleotides. The record is from RefSeq and is a predicted model, not a curated record. Lineage: Eukaryota; Viridiplantae; Streptophyta; Magnoliopsida; Ericales; Theaceae.